AUGCAAAGUGCCCUCAUUCGUGGCUGGCAGUGGGUGCUGUCGGUGGACUGGGCCACCGCACUUCCCCCUGGACGCCCCCUGGUGGCUGAGCUCCAGAGGUGCACUGCGAAAGCUGCAAGGCUACAUCUAUCCUAUUCGCCGGUGGAGGGCCAGCAUCACCCAAGGGACAGCACGUGGGACAAUUUCAGAGGGAGCACCCCUUGGCGCGAGGACCCUGACUCCACCAAGGACACCAACUCAGCCAAGGACCCAGAGUCCUGGCACCCUCCACCUUAAGCAUUUUUUUGCCAACACGCCCCAGCGCUGAAGCCGUAGCUCAUCCCACUGAUGCGGAGACCGAGGCUCAGAGAGGGAAGAGCUGGACUGAGGUGGGUCUGGACCCGCGUUCCUGGAGGGAGGAGGGCUGCCAGUGUGCCGAGGGGAGGGCGUCCCAGGACAGGAGUCAGGGACAGAGAGAAAGAAGGGGCCUGAGAUCCUGGAUGAGACAGAGUGAGAAGGAGAUGCAGGAAGUGGGGCGAGGGGGGCUGGAUGAGGGGCUUUGCCGGGGCGGGGCCCUCAUCCUCCCCCUCCCCCACAGCCCUCCCCCUCUGGGAAGCGCUGCUGCUGUCCUAACCCCAUCCUUCAGGCUGUAGCACCAGCUGUCUCACCCCCACACACACACCCCGUGCCUGGGCAGUUUUGUUUCAUUUCCACAAGAUACAGGUUGUGGCUGAGGUCGAGCUGUGUAUGAGGGUCAUAAAAAUCUCCUUAGAGAAGCCCAGCAGGGGUGGGGGUCCAUUCCACCCUCUCAGCCCGCUUCUCUCUCUGGGACUCUGUCUCCCCCUCCCGUCUCUGUCCCUGCUUUCCCUGGGUCUUUGUCUGCUCAACCCGUUUCUGUCCCCUUCUCUCUGGAUCUGUGCCUCAUUUCUCUGUGGAGCUCUUCCCCUUCGGGAGGUUCAGGUAUCCCCUUUGAGGAGUUCCCGAUGUGUCUCAGCGGGUUACCAACUUGACUAGUAUCCAUGAGGGCACAGGUUCGAUCCCUGGCCUCGCUCAGUGGGUGAAAGAUCCAGUGUUGCCACGAGCUUCGGUGUAGGUCACAGACAUGGCACAGAUCUGGCGUUGCUAUUUGUGGUGUAGGCGCACAGCUGCAGCUCAGAUCCGACCCCUGGCCUGGGAACUUCCAUGUGCUGCUGGAACAGCCCCCCAAAAAAUGCCAAAAAAAAAGUAUCCCCCUUGAUAAUAGGGUGAACACUAUGGGCCAUCACCCUAUAAAGACAUAUAGACACCAUGCCCAUAGUUUGCCAGGCAAGUUGAGGGAGUUUACAGGCCUCCUGGCACCCUGGUUUACAUCCUCUCGGGACUCUGAGGCCACCAGAGGAUAAAGACCCUACUGUAGAGAAAGCCAGCAAGAGACUGAACCCCGGGGGGGAGGGUCUCUCCCUUCUCCCCGCCUCCCUGCCCCCUCCUGCCCUCACUGGUCUCCUCACUGUUUCCCAAACACAUUCCUGCCCCAGGGCCUUUGCACCUGCAGUUCCUCUGCUAAUAUUCCCAGACAUCAGCCUGGCUCCCUCGCCCCCCUUCUUCAGGUCGCUGCUCAGAUGUCCCCUCCUCUGAGGUCUUGCCCUUUCCAGCUCUGGUCGUCCCCCGUCCUUAUUCUGCUUUGUCUCAGCACACUGGACACCUCCAGGCGGUUUUUUUUCUACUUUGCACAUGUAUUUACUGGACCAUUCUCUCCCCCACACCAUCCCCAAUGGCCUGUGAGCGCCAGGAGGCCAGGAAAGGUUGUCUUCUGUUCCCGGCUCUAUCUCCAGAACACCACCCGGCACACAGUAGGUGCUCAAUAAAUAUUUGUUGCAGAAAUCUUUGUUUCAUUAGAACACUAGUUGCAUAGGCUGCCUGGGACAGCCAGAAAUCAGAUGAAAAGCUGUGGACCUGCUCUCAAGCAGAUGUGUCACCAGGCACUCCGUUUUUACCCUCAGUUUUAGAGAUUCUAUCACACACUCCUUGGGAGCCAUUGAAGGGAUUUCAGGCUAAGAAACUUCCAAAAGGGAAGCGUCAAAAUGGGCGGAGGGCAGCAACACCUCCGGGGGUG
Molecule: long non-coding RNA, 2071 nt
Filed under: Sus scrofa (pig)
Lineage: Eukaryota; Metazoa; Chordata; Mammalia; Artiodactyla; Suidae
Description: lncRNA (ENSSSCG00025013750.1)
Source: RNAcentral